GACGAACGCUGGCGGCAUGCCUAAUACAUGCAAGUCGAGCGGACUUGAUGGAGAAGCUUGCUUCUUCUGAAGGUUAGCGGCGGACGGGUGAGUAACACGUAGGCAACCUGCCUUUCAGUUUGGGAUAACUUCCGGAAACGGAUGCUAAUACCGAAUACAUCAUCUUCUGGCAUCAGAGGAUGAGGAAAGACGGCGCAAGCUGUCACUGAGAGAUGGGCCUGCGGCGCAUUAGCUAGUUGGUGGGGUAAUGGCUCACCAAGGCGACGAUGCGUAGCCGACCUGAGAGGGAGAACGGCCACACUGGGACUGAGACACGGCCCAGACUCCUACGGGAGGCAGCAGUAGGGAAUCUUCCACAAUGGGCGAAAGCCUGAUGGAGCAAUGCCGCGUGAGUGAUGAAGGUUUUCGGAUCGUAAAGCUCUGUUGCCAGGGAAGAACGUCCAGGUGAGUAACUGCACCUGGAGUGACGGUACCUGAGAAGAAAGCCCCGGCUAACUACGUGCCAGCAGCCGCCGUAA
This 518-nucleotide ribosomal RNA is filed under the name uncultured bacterium. Its description in RNAcentral is "partial 16S ribosomal RNA". It matches the Rfam family "Bacterial small subunit ribosomal RNA", at positions 28 to 523 of the family's 1533-position model. The record is from RNAcentral.